AAGCUCGUAGUUGAAUUUCGGGGUUAGUAGGUUGGUCAUGCCUCUGGUAUGUACUGGUCUCACUGAUUCCUCCUUCCUUAUGAACCGUAAUGCCAUUAAUUUGGUGUUGCGGGGAAUUUGGACUGUUACUUUGAAAAAAUUAGAGUGUUUAAAGCAAGCUAACGCUUGAAUACAUUAGCAUGGAAUAAUGAAAUAGGACGUUCGAUCUUAUUUUGUUGGUUUCUAGGAUUGACGUAAUGAUUAAUAGGGAUAGUU
RNAcentral lists this ribosomal RNA (255 nucleotides) under uncultured Glomus. Its description in RNAcentral is "partial 18S ribosomal RNA". It matches the Rfam family "Eukaryotic small subunit ribosomal RNA", at positions 624 to 883 of the family's 1831-position model. The record is from RNAcentral. Lineage: Eukaryota; Fungi; Glomeromycota; Glomeromycetes; Glomerales; Glomeraceae.